RNAcentral lists this ribosomal RNA (497 nucleotides) under uncultured bacterium. RNAcentral describes it as "partial 16S ribosomal RNA". It matches the Rfam family "Bacterial small subunit ribosomal RNA", at positions 28 to 507 of the family's 1533-position model. The record is from RNAcentral.
GAUGAACGCUGGCGGCGUGCCUAAUACAUGCAAGUCGAGCGAACGGACGAGAAGCUUGCUUCUCUGAUGUUAGCGGCGGACGGGUGAGUAACACGUGGAUAACCUACCUAUAAGACUGGGAUAACUUCGGGAAACCGGAGCUAAUACCGGAUAAUAUUUUGAACCGCAUGGUUCAAAAGUGGAAGACGGUCUUGCUGUCACUUAUAGAUGGAUCCGCGCUGCAUUAGCUAGUUGGUAAGGUAACGGCUUACCAAGGCAACGAUGCAUAGCAGACCUGAGAGGGUGAUCGGCCACACUGGAACUGAGACGCGGUCCAGACUCCUACGGGAGGCAGCAGUAGGGAAUCUUCCGCAAUGGGCGAAAGCCUGACGGAGCAACGCCGCGUGAGUGAUGAAGGUCUUCGGAUCGUAAAACUCUGUUAUUAGGGAAGAACAUAUGUGUAAGUAACUGUGCACAUCUUGACGGUACCUAAUCAGAAAGCCACGGCUAACUACGUG